UACGUAGGCAGCAAGCGUUGUUCGGAAUUACUGGGCGUAAAGGGUGUGCAGGCGGCGUGGUAAGUGUGGUGUGAAAUCUCCCGGCUUAACCGGGAGGGUGCGCUACAGACUGCCAUGCUCGAGUGUGGGAUGGGAGAGUGGAAUUCCUGGUGUAGCGGUGGAAUGCGCAGAUAUCAGGAGGAACACCAAUGGCGAAGGCAGGUCUCUGGGCCACAACUGACGCUGAGGCACGAAAGCUAGGGGAGCAAACAGG
This 253-nucleotide ribosomal RNA is filed under the name uncultured bacterium. Its description in RNAcentral is "partial 16S ribosomal RNA". It matches the Rfam family "Bacterial small subunit ribosomal RNA", at positions 524 to 776 of the family's 1533-position model. The record is from RNAcentral.